This 447-nucleotide ribosomal RNA is filed under the name uncultured bacterium. RNAcentral describes it as "bacterial SSU rRNA". It matches the Rfam family "Bacterial small subunit ribosomal RNA", at positions 330 to 793 of the family's 1533-position model. The record is from RNAcentral.
GCCAGACUCCUACGGGAGGCAGCAGUGGGGGAUAUUGCACAAUGGGGGAAACCCUGAUGCAGCGACGCCGCGUGAGUGAAGAAGUAUUUCGGUAUGUAAAGCUCUAUCAGCAGGGAAGAAAAAAGACGGUACCUGACUAAGAAGCCCCGGCUAACUACGUGCCAGCAGCCGCGGUAAUACGUAGGGGGCAAGCGUUAUCCGGAUUUACUGGGUGUAAAGGGAGCGUAGACGGCAAUACAAGUCGGAAGUGAAAUACCCGGGCUCAACCUGGGAACUGCUUUGGAAACUGUAUGGCUGGAGUGCUGGAGAGGUAAGCGGAAUUCCUAGUGUAGCGGUGAAAUGCGUAGAUAUUAGGAGGAACACCAGUGGCGAAGGCGGCUUACUGGACAGUAACUGACGUUGAGGCUCGAAAGCGUGGGGAGCAAACAGGAUUAGAUAUCCCCGUAU